RNAcentral lists this ribosomal RNA (497 nucleotides) under uncultured bacterium. Its description in RNAcentral is "partial 16S ribosomal RNA". It matches the Rfam family "Bacterial small subunit ribosomal RNA", at positions 28 to 507 of the family's 1533-position model. The record is from RNAcentral.
GACGAACGCUGGCGGCGUGCCUAAUACAUGCAAGUAGAACGCUGAAGAGAGGAGCUUGCUCUUCUUGGAUGAGUUGCGAACGGGUGAGUAACGCGUAGGUAACCUGCCUUGUAGCGGGGGAUAACUAUUGGAAACGAUAGCUAAUACCGCAUAACAAUGGAUGACACAUGUCAUUUAUUUGAAAGGGGCAAUUGCUCCACUACAAGAUGGACCUGCGUUGUAUUAGCUAGUAGGUGAGGUAAUGGCUCACCUAGGCGACGAUACAUAGCCGACCUGAGAGGGUGAUCGGCCACACUGGGACUGAGACACGGCCCAGACUCCUACGGGAGGCAGCAGUAGGGAAUCUUCGGCAAUGGGGGCAACCCUGACCGAGCAACGCCGCGUGAGUGAAGAAGGUUUUCGGAUCGUAAAGCUCUGUUGUAAGUCAAGAACGGGUGUGAGAGUGGAAAGUUCACACUGUGAUGGUAGCUUACCAGAAAGGGACGGCUAACUACGUG